CCUACGGGCGGCUGCAGUGGGGAAUUUUGGACAAUGGGGGCAACCCUGAUCCAGCCAUUCCGCGUGAGUGAAGAAGGCCUUCGGGUUGUAAAGCUCUUUCGCAAGGGAAGAAAACUUACUCAAUAACACUGGGUGAGGCUGACGGUACCUUGAUAAGAAGCACCGGCGAACUACGUGCCAGCAGCCGCGUUAAUACGUAGGGUGCGAGCGUGCAUCGGGAUUACUGGGCGGGUUGCGUGCGCAGGCGGUGAAAUCCCCGGGCUCAACCUGGGAACUGCGUUUGAAACUACAAGGCUAGAGUAUGGCAGAGGGGGGUAGAAUUCCACGUGUAGCAGUGAAAUGCGUAGAGAUGUGGAGGAAUACCAAUGGCGAAGGCAGCCCCCUGGGUCAAUACUGACGCUCAUGCACGAAAGCGUGGGGAGCAAACAGGAUUAGAUACCCCUGUAGUC
RNAcentral lists this ribosomal RNA (449 nucleotides) under uncultured bacterium. RNAcentral describes it as "partial 16S ribosomal RNA". It matches the Rfam family "Bacterial small subunit ribosomal RNA", at positions 338 to 795 of the family's 1533-position model. The record is from RNAcentral.